Molecule: long non-coding RNA, 599 nt
Organism: Pieris rapae (cabbage white)
Lineage: Eukaryota; Metazoa; Arthropoda; Insecta; Lepidoptera; Pieridae
Exons: 3
Source: RefSeq, a predicted model, not a curated record
CAACGUCAAUGUUCAGGGUCAAUUAUUAAUUCAAAAUACAUCUUGACUGCUGCUCACUGCGUUGUCAACAAAAAUAUUGCAGGAGUGAGAAUUGGAGACUUCGAUGUCAGUAGAGAUGAAGACUGCGAUUAUCAAUCUGGCGUAUCUCCUGCCUGUGAGGACCAUAUUCAGGAGAUGUAUGUAGAAUUGGCAAUACCCCAUAGCGAGUUUCGCCGCGGACCACCGGAAAACGACAUUGCUUUGCUGAGAGUGGAAGGCGAGAUCAACUUUAGUUAUCCUAACGUUGAACCAAUUUGUCUACCAAUAACACCUGAACUUCAAAAUAAGGUUUUGGACUAUAUGACUGGAACAGUGGCUGGAUGGGGCGUGACCGAAACGCGCAAAGAGGCUACACGAUUGAUGAAAGUCGAUAUUCCAGUAAAAUCCAACUCAGAUUGUAAGAUGUACUAUUUAAAUUCGCCAAAUCAACAUCAUUAUUUUAAAAGAGCUAUGAAGAAUCAGUUUUGUGCAGGAGAAUUAGGGAAGGACUCGUGCGAUGGAGACUCUGGUGGUCCAUUUAUGAUUAAAGACAUCUAUAAAGACGUGAACCGGUACGUCCA